UAAAUAGAAAGACAUUUAAUGUGCAUGAUCAUAAAAUCUCAAUAUUGUCAAGAUAUAAUUUCUCCCCAAUUUGAGUUAUAGGCAAGAGAGUCACAUCAUCUAGGUGAUUGGCCAAACAUAUGUCACAAUCCCUUCCAUUGACAGCUCCCAAAAAAGGAGUUACAUCACCUAGGUGCUCAGCUCUGAGAUGUGUCACAACAUUGCCCAAUACAGGCAGGCCACAGGCGGGAGAGUCACAUUUCCUGGGUGCUUGGCCCAGUGGUAUGUCACAUUUCCUUAUGUAGGAAGGGCACACGUAGCAAGAGAGAGUCACAUUACCUAGGUACUGUGCUAGAGCUAUCAGUCUCUGUGUCGUUCAAUGUGAGAGUUAUGAUCUCUUUAGACAUCCAUGUAACAGAGCCUCAACUCCUUCAUCCUCAGAUGUAAAGGCUAGUGAAGACCAAAUAAGCCUUGAAAGGUAAUUCCCCUAAAAAGGCAGAAUGUCUUAGGCUUUGGCCUCUCCCCUUCAAGCACAAUGAGAUCAUAACCUCUCUUUUGACUUCUCACUAUGCCCAGCACUGGAACAAAGCUCCUGACUCCACACCCUCACCUUUCCACCCUUGUGCCUUCACUGGGCAGACAAGAGAUGAGAAGACCUGAACUCUGGGACAGUCUGGGGAGAAAAGAAUCCAAAAAGGGUUGAGGCGGCAAGGGCUGAGCUCCCACGGGUGCCCCGGCCCAAAGGUGCAGGUCCAGGCUGUUUUCCAGGUGGCAUUCAGUGCAGGUUCUUCAAUGCCACUGGAAGGCAUGAAAAACCCACUGUAGCUGCUGCUGCUUCCUUUUCUUAAGCUGUGAAAAUGCAAACACUUUUUCAAGGUUUUCAGAUAUGCCCAGGUACCCCCAACUGAAAAGGAGGAUAAUGGCAUUGUUCAUCAUGGCUUAUUGUCUUGCCCAGGCAGGAGCCAGCCCCUGACUCGCCAAUCCAGCUGCCCCAGGCUGGAGGUGAUCCUUUCGAGCCUCCUCCCUGCAACUCCACUCCUCUUUUUUCUCUUCCUCAACCACCGGCAUACUUUUGGUCAUCCUCCUUGUUGUCACAAUGGGGGCGUGAUGCCAUAAAGACCUGGGAACCCCAAUGAUCUCAGGUCCCGCAGGGGUCAGGUGAGCAUAUAGGAAGUCCAGAAGGACAGUCAUCUGCCACCUCCAGUUGAAAAAGAACAAAACCCUCGCACUCCAGAAAUGAGUCAAGAACCCAGCGAAGGCCACAGGUCUAGCCCACAACCACCUAGGUAUGUGGGGUCCUCCAAGGCUCACGCUUGUGUCCUGCAGGCUGGAGCCCAUGCGAGGGUCUGCAGUCUUUGUUCCGGAUGGGGAACUACUGCUUCAGCUGGUUACCCAGGUGUCCCCGAUGGGGAAAGGAAGGAAAUGGUGAGAAUCUUCAGCACAACGGAUCACAUCACCCUGGCAGAGACCAGUCCGGCCUGCGCAUGGCACCAGCAGCCGCAGGCUAGAGGCAGUCAUGUCAGGCCUCCUCCAUACAGCAUCUCUCCUGCUUUUUUUUCAAACGGCCCUAAUCACUUAAUUUGGUCAUCUUCCCUGUCACAAUGGGGCACCUGGCGCUAUAGACACUUGGGAAACACACAGAUCUGGGGUCCUACAGUGUCCAGGUGAAGACGCCGGGAGUCAGAGAGGAAAGUCUUUUGAAGCCUCCAAAAGGAAUGCACAGGACCCCACUUGAAGAGGUGGAGUGCCCAGUGGCGGAUACAGGCCCCACACAUCGCAGCAGUAAACAGGGACUCCACGGUGUCCAGCUCUCCAGCCUGGGGUUUCUCAUCACCCAGUGAUUCCAAAAGAAACGAUCUACAAUGGCAUGACUAAGUUCCAGAAACAAAUAAACAAAAUACUGAGGGAAGCCCGUUGGUCACUUUGAUUCUUCAAAGGUGACAAUUGUCCCUCCCUGAAAUCUUGUGAGUGCAUGAACAGGCUAUUCUAAUGUAAAUGAAAUUCACACUAAAACUGAUUGAAAGAUGAUUCUGUUUCCAAGGUACUUUGUAUUCUCAAAUUGCACCUGCUUACCCUGGCCCCCUCAAAAUGGAAGAGUGAUGACUAUUUGUCUUCGUAGCACUGUGGGGACACAGAGCCUUAAAUGGAAGAGUGUCAAAAGCAACAUUCCAUAAAGGGCUGUCACUUCCAAUUUUCAAGCAAGGUUGGAAACCAACCAUGAUGUAUGAAACACUGUUGGCCAAAGUGCACAAUUAGUAAUACAAAAUGAAUAAUAUAAACUAUUGUAAAUAUGUGUGGACAUCGUGGCAAUUUGGACAUCAAAAAACACUGCCAAAUUCAGAAAGAGGAAGCUGUAAACUCAUGGCUGUUAGGAAGCUUAACUUCUGUGUACUAGAACCUAUCAAAAUUAAAUUUCUCCAUGUCAAUCCGUCCAAACAAACAUUGAGAUGUUUAUUUCUAUAUAAUUCCUAUUGAAUCCUACUGGGCAGGACCCUUCUGGCCCCAUC
This is a long non-coding RNA of Homo sapiens (human), 2486 nucleotides long. Lineage: Eukaryota; Metazoa; Chordata; Mammalia; Primates; Hominidae. The record is from Ensembl.